Molecule: transfer RNA, 58 nt
Filed under: Syngamus trachea
Lineage: Eukaryota; Metazoa; Nematoda; Chromadorea; Rhabditida; Syngamidae
Description: tRNA-Phe
Source: RNAcentral
AUUUCGUUAGUUUAUUUAUAAAAUGUAGCUCUGAAGAAGUUAAGAAAUUACGAAGUGG